AUUGAACGAGGGAGGCAGGCCUAACACAUGCAAGUCGAGCGGAUGAAGGGAGCUUGCUCCUGGAUUCAGCGGCGGACGGGUGAGUAAUGCCUAGGAAUCUGCCUGGUAGUGGGGGAUAACGUCCGGAAACGGGCGCUAAUACCGCAUACGUCCUGAGGGAGAAAGUGGGGGAUCUUCGGACCUCACGCUAUCAGAUGAGCCUAGGUCGGAUUAGCUAGUUGGUGGGGUAAAGGCCUACCAAGGCGACGAUCCGUAACUGGUCUGAGAGGAUGAUCAGUCACACUGGAACUGAGACACGGUCCCGACUCCUACGGGAGGCAGCAGUGGGGAAUAUUGGACAAUGGGCGAAAGCCUGAUCCAGCCAUGCCGCGUGUGUGAAGAAGGUCUUCGGAUUGUAAAGCACUUUAAGUUGGGAGGAAGGGCAGUAAGUUAAUACCUUGCUGUUUUGACGUUACCAACAGAAUAAGCACCGGCUAACUUCGUG
RNAcentral lists this ribosomal RNA (484 nucleotides) under uncultured bacterium. Its description in RNAcentral is "partial 16S ribosomal RNA". It matches the Rfam family "Bacterial small subunit ribosomal RNA", at positions 30 to 507 of the family's 1533-position model. The record is from RNAcentral.